UCGCCGCCAUGGCCUAAACAUGCAAGUCGAGCGGACAGAUGGGAGCUUGCUCCCUGAUGUUAGCGGCGGACGGGUGAGUAACACGUGGGUAACCUGCCUGUAAGACUGGGAUAACUCCGGGAAACCGGGGCUAAUACCGGAUGGUUGUUUGAACCGCAUGGUUCAAACAUAAAAGGUGGCUUCGGCUACCACUUACAGAUGGACCCGCGGCGCAUUAGCUAGUUGGUGAGGUAACGGCUCACCAAGGCAACGAUGCGUAGCCGACCUGAGAGGGUGAUCGGCCACACUGGGACUGAGACACGGCCCAGACUCCUACGGGAGGCAGCAGUAGGGAAUCUUCCGCAAUGGACGAAAGUCUGACGGAGCAACGCCGCGUGAGUGAUGAAGGUUUUCGGAUCGUAAAGCUCUGUUGUUAGGGAAGAACAAGUACCGUUCGAAUAGGGCGGUACCUUGACGGUACCUAACCAGAAAGCCACGGCUAACUACGUGCCAGCAGCCGCGGUAAUACGUAGGUGGCAAGCGUUGUCCGGAAUUAUUGGGCGUAAAGGGCUCGCAGGCGGUUUCUUAAGUCUGAUGUGAAAGCCCCCGGCUCAACCGGGGAGGGUCAUUGGAAACUGGGGAACUUGAGUGCAGAAGAGGAGAGUGGAAUUCCACGUGUAGCGGUGAAAUGCGUAGAGAUGUGGAGGAACACCAGUGGCGAAGGCGACUCUCUGGUCUGUAACUGACGCUGAGGAGCGAAAGCGUGGGGAGCGAACAGGAUUAGAUACCCUGGUAGUCCACGCCGUAAACGAUGAGUGCUAAGUGUUAGGGGUUUCCGCCCCUUAGUGCUGCAGCUAACGCAUUAAGCACUCCGCCUGGGGAGUACGGUCGCAAGACUGAAACUCAAAGGAAUUGACGGGGCCCGCACAAGCGGUGGAGCAUGUGUUUAAUUCGAAGCACGCGAAGAACUUACCAGUCUGACAUCUCUGACAAUCUAGAGAUAGACGUCCUCGGGCAGAUGACAGGUGGUGCAUGUUGUCGUCAGCUCUUUCUGGAAUGUGGUAGUCCGCACGAGGCAACUGAAUCUAAUGCAGCAUCAUUGAACCUAGGUACUGCGGGUACACGAGAAGUGGGAGUACGCUAUCAUGCUAGAUCUGUAACGUCAUGCACAAGGACAUCCGGUUUAC
This 1166-nucleotide ribosomal RNA is filed under the name Priestia flexa. Its description in RNAcentral is "bacterial SSU rRNA". It matches the Rfam family "Bacterial small subunit ribosomal RNA", at positions 37 to 1160 of the family's 1533-position model. The record is from RNAcentral. Lineage: Bacteria; Bacillati; Bacillota; Bacilli; Caryophanales; Bacillaceae.